Long non-coding RNA from Anthonomus grandis grandis, 788 nucleotides. RefSeq lists it as uncharacterized. NCBI's taxonomy places the organism in Eukaryota, Metazoa, Arthropoda, Insecta, Coleoptera, Curculionidae. The transcript has 3 exons. The record is from RefSeq and is a predicted model, not a curated record.
UAAAUAUACUAAAAUUAUUUUUAAACUGCUUUUAAUAUUUCCAAACAGUGUGUCUAUUUACGCUUUUGUUUUUUAAAAAAAGCAUAUGUCUAGAUUUUCCGUUAUAAUAUUUCCAACCAAGGGGAUUAUUCUUUUGAAAGUUUCUAACCAUAACAUUUCCUAUUCGUGGACAUGAAUGGACAAUUUCGAGCAGAGAAUCCAGAAGACUGGUUUCGUUAUAUUGAAAAUGCUCGAGUGAAACCUGCAUCGUUUAAAGUUGAGAAAGCUGUCAGAUUUUUAAUUAGAAACUGGAACGAAUGUUUUCCAGUAAUGUAUUUAAAAAAAAAGUCCGCCCAAAACAAGAACAAUUAAGGAGUUAAAGAUGGACAAAAAUCAUCCCUGAGUCGAGCAGUUUAAUGCGCAGUAUUUAGAAGCGGCUGAGGAGGUGAGAGAGUUGGCCGGGGGCAAAAGUAAAUUAAAAGUGUUCCACAUAAAUGGUCGAAGUAUAAUGAAAAAUUUUGAUGAACUAAAUGUGCUUAUUGAAUCAAUUGACUCUUUCAAAACUUUCUCUCAAACUUUUCUUUUGGAUGUACAUGAGCAGAAGAAGAAAAUAUAGUUGUUCAUUCAAAAACAGUCCGCAGAGUCCUUCAUAGAGUUAGAUACACGUCAACAGUUGCUAGGACUAAGCCUUUUAUAAAUCAAAUAAAUAAGAAGAAGCGUGUUGAUUUUGCAACUGGACGCUUUCAUUAUGAUAACUAAUUUUGGGAUAAACUAAUAUUUUUAGAGGACAGCAAAUUUUACAUUCAGAU